Molecule: long non-coding RNA, 210 nt
Filed under: Nicotiana benthamiana
Lineage: Eukaryota; Viridiplantae; Streptophyta; Magnoliopsida; Solanales; Solanaceae
Description: long non-coding RNA (NBEN_LNC006698)
Source: RNAcentral
UUUUUAUAAAAAAAUUUACAAAGUCAUUAGGCAUUUUUAAACUAAAAUUGCAUUAAAUUAUAAUUGUAGCCUAUUUCUCAAUUUAAUAAAUAUUUUAAGUACAAAAUCGUUCCUAAUAUUUUUAAUUAAUUCCUAAACGUAUUUUAUUAUCUUAGUCUUUUAUUGGAUUUUUAUAAAAUUCUUUACUAUUUUUUACAAAAUUAAUUACGG